This 495-nucleotide ribosomal RNA is filed under the name uncultured Lysobacter sp. RNAcentral's name for it is "bacterial SSU rRNA". It matches the Rfam family "Bacterial small subunit ribosomal RNA", at positions 8 to 494 of the family's 1533-position model. Lineage: Bacteria; Pseudomonadati; Pseudomonadota; Gammaproteobacteria; Lysobacterales; Lysobacteraceae. The record is from RNAcentral.
AGAGUUUGAUCAUGGCUCAGAGUGAACGCUGGCGGCAGGCCUAACACAUGCAAGUCGAACGGCAGCACAGAGGAGCUUGCUCCUUGGGUGGCGAGUGGCGGACGGGUGAGGAAUACAUCGGAAUCUGCCUUAUCGUGGGGGAUAACGUAGGGAAACUUACGCUAAUACCGCAUACGACCUACGGGUGAAAGCGGAGGACCGCAAGGCUUCGCGCGAUAAGAUGAGCCGAUGUCGGAUUAGCUAGUUGGCGGGGUAAUGGCCCACCAAGGCGACGAUCCGUAGCUGGUCUGAGAGGAUGAUCAGCCACACUGGAACUGAGACACGGUCCAGACUCCUACGGGAGGCAGCAGUGGGGAAUAUUGGACAAUGGGCGGAAGCCUGAUCCAGCCAUGCCGCGUGUGUGAAGAAGGCCUUCGGGUUGUAAAGCACUUUUGUCCGGAAAGAAAAGCUUCGGGUUAAUACCCCGGGGUCCUGACGGUACCGAAGAAUAGCCCC